GCCUGGGUGGCUCAGUCGGUUAAGCAUCUGACUUUGGCUCAGGUCACGAUCUCGCGGUCCGUGGGUUCGAGCCCCGCGUCGGGCU
RNAcentral lists this transfer RNA (85 nucleotides) under Felis catus (domestic cat). It matches the Rfam family "tRNA". Rfam says of the family: Transfer RNA (tRNA) molecules are approximately 80 nucleotides in length. Their secondary structure includes four short double-helical elements and three loops (D, anti-codon, and T loops). The record is from Rfam by way of RNAcentral. RNAcentral also lists the same sequence under 1 other name. Lineage: Eukaryota; Metazoa; Chordata; Mammalia; Carnivora; Felidae.